Molecule: long non-coding RNA, 6178 nt
Filed under: Homo sapiens (human)
Lineage: Eukaryota; Metazoa; Chordata; Mammalia; Primates; Hominidae
Description: LHRI_LNC558.9
Source: RNAcentral
CGAGUAGCGGUGGCUGAAGAACGAGCAGGAGCUUGAAUUUCAGUUUUCUUAUGAGGAAUUUUCCAGAAAAGAUAUCUUCACUGUGAAAUAACUAAAUAAAUGCCCACUCAGUACAGUCACUGUCUCCCUUUUGGAACUUGAUGGCACCUUAAGCCCAGGUUUGCCUCCACUCUAGAAACUCAUCAGAGUGAUGCCCUUCUCAAAUGGGGGAGGUCCCAAAGCGGAUAUCCUGGCAGUGUGAAAGGCCGGCUAAAGACAAAAAUACCUGCUACAUGCUUCCUUCUGUAUGAAUACAUGAGACCUACCUUCAUUCAUGUUUCCUCUAUGAAGCUUUCCCUGCACUCCAAACACAGAGCUGAGACUUCCACCUAAUGUAGAAAGCUAGCACGAGCCGGCGCUGACAGAUGGAAGACUUGAGAUGUUACAAGAUUAUAUAUGGAAACACAAAAGGAGUGGAGUUGCUGGGUCAUAUGGCAAUUCAUUUGAGGAACUGAGAAGCUUAUUCCAUGGAGGCUGAACUGUUUUAUAUUCCCACCAGCAACGUGUAAGGUUCCAGUUUAUCUACAUCAUCACCAACACUUGCUAUUUUCCAUUUCAUUAAUGAUAGCCAUCCUAGUGGAUUUGAAGUGGUACCUUAUUAUCGUGGUUUUGAUUGCAUUCUCUAUUGACUAAUGAUAUCGAGCAUCUUUUCAUGUAUUUUUUGGUCAUUUGGUCAUUUUUCUUUUUUAAUUUUAAAAUUUUGAGACAGGCUCUCACUAUGUUGCCCAGGUGGUCUCAAACUCCUGGGUUCCAGCGAUGCUCAUGCCUCAGUCUCCCAAAGGGGUGGGAUUACAGGUGUGAGCCACUUUGCCCAGCCCAUUUGUAUAUCUCCUUUGGAGAAUAUCUAGGUUCUUUUGAAGGUAGCUGCAUAUAAACUAGCCAAAUUAACAGACUGUGGUUUUUAGAUGGCUUUCCAUAUCUACAAGAACUAUUUAGUUCUCAAAACUGGGAAGAAAUGUUUCAGAGGCAUCAUUAAUUCAUAAUCUAAAAAUUUAUCUUGGGUUUCCUUUUUUCCCCCAGAUUCUGUAUCCUCCAUAGUCCUAUUCAUGACAUGGGUCGUUCAUCUCUGUAUUCUAAACCCUCAAUGAACUGUAGACAGUAAUAAAUAUUUAUUGGAUGAAUGGUCUCUCAUCAGCCACCUUUUCUUUUUUUUUUUUUGAGACAGAGUCUCACUCUGUCACUCAGGCUGGAGUGCAGUGGCGCGAUCUCGGUUCACUGCAACCUCUGCCUCCCGGGUUCAAGUGAUUCUCCCACCUGAGCCUCCCGAGUAGCUGGGAUUACAGGUGCACGCCACCUUGUCUGGCUAAUUUUUGUAUUUUUAGUAGAGACAGGGUUUCACCGUGUUGGUCAGGCUGGUCUCAAACGCCUGACCUCAGGUGAUCUGCCCGACUUGGCCUCCCAAAGUGCUGGGAUUACAGGUGUGAGCCACCGCACCUGGCCUCCAGCCUCUUUUCUUUUUUUUUUUUGAGACAAGUCUAACUCUGUCACCCAGGCUGGAGAGCAGCGGCAUGAUCAUGGCUCACUGCUGCCUCAACCUCAGAGGCUCAAGUCAUUGUCCCCACCUCAGCCUCCCUAGUAGACUGGACUACAGGCAUGUGCCACCACACCCAGCUAAUUUUUCAUCAGCCACCUUUUCUAACCAUCUGUCUGCACUGACUUCCCAGGUUCUGCAUCAUUAUUGGUUUACUGAGACAAUGCACUUCACCCGUCCUUCAAUCCCAAAGUAGCACAGAAUAUCAGGAGUUCUUUGAGCCCCUAAGUGCCCUACUUUCCCAGGGUCAGGGGACCCUGACAAGCAAGGUCCCCACAUCUUUCUGUGGUUGGAUAGGGAUAUAAAAUUUCUCACACAUGUUAAAUCAAGAUACUUUGGCCAGGCACGGUGGCUCACACCUGUAAUCCCAGCACUUUGGGAGGCUGAGGUGUACAGAUCACUUGAGGUCAGGAGUUUGAGACAAGCCUGGUCAACAUGGUGAAACUCCCAUCUCUACUAAAAAAAAAAAAACUUUGGGAGGCCGAGGUGGGUGGAUCAUGAGGUCAGGAGUUUGAGACCAGCCUGGCCAACAUGGUGAAACCCCGUCUCUACUAAAAAUGCAAAAAUUAGGUGGGUGUGGUGGCACACAGCAGUAGUCCCAGCUACUCAGGAGGCUGAGGCAGGAGAAUUGCUUGAACCUGGGAGGCAGAGGUUACAGUGAGCUGAGAUCAUGCCACCGCACUCCAACCAGGGCAACAGAUCAAGACUCCAUCUUGGGGAAAAAAAAAAAAAUUAGCCAGGCUUGGUGGUGGAUGCCUGUAUUCCCAGCUUCUUGGGAGACUGAAGCAGGAGGAUCGCUUGAACCCAGGAGGCAGAGGUUGCAGUGAGUUGAGAUUGUGCCACUGUACUCCAGCCUGGGCAACAGAAACAAUACUCCGUCUCAAAAAAAAAAAAAAAAAAAAAAAAUCAAGACACCAAACACACACAACUAAUUAGCUCUAUAAAUUGAAUUAAAAGAAAAUCCAUACUGACUUGCUUUCCCAUCUGUCCAUAUUUGUCUAUCCAAAUGAUUAAGGGCUAGAGAAAAUACAGAUGAUGAUGGCUGAGAUGGGAUAAAACUAUAAAUUGACUUGGUUCCAUUUACCUCCCAGAAUCAGCAUACAGUGACAAAGUAGAGAGAAAAGGUCUGGGCACCACAAACUUGUACUUGUGCUAGAAAUGUAGGUGCCUUUUCAUUUGCCCAGCAGGGCUAGUUUAACAGCCAGGGUAUCUUCUGGGACUCUUCCCCAAAUCUUGCUCUACCGCUGACUAGCUAUGUGAUCUUGGGCAAGUUUCUCAACCUUUCUGUGCCUUUCUUCCUUUACUUAUAAAUAAGGAUAACAGAAUUUGCUUCAUAGAGUUAGUCUGAGGAUUCAGUAAGUAGAUACGUGUAAUCUUAGAACAGUGUCUGGCACACAGUAAAACUCUAUCUUUGCUAUUGUUGUUUUUGUUAUAACUGUAUAGAUGUUAGCUAUUAUUACUAUCCACAAGAAUGGGACAUAUCAAUUAUAUAUAUUACUGGCCUAGUAAUUAUAUAUACUUAGAAUCCCUGAUCAAUAAAAUAAAUUGUAAUAGAAAUUUUUAUUCCUCAAACACAUUUUUGUUCCUCAAACACAUUUUUAAAUAAACAUGUCUUGGGAAAGCCAAAGAAAAAAAAAUCAUACCUAUAUCCAAAUAUGUUAUAUUAAAACCUUGUUCCUUGGCAAUUUCACUAAGCAGCUGGAUGUAAUCUGUAUUUGGAAUACUAAGGAGGCUUCUUUUCAGUAAGUUGAUCUUUUCACCAGGAGAAUUCCUCAAGGAAUGCCAAGUACAUCCUAAAGAAUGUCCUACUACAUUUGUCUGAAAAACAGAGAUGAAGAUUUAGACUCUUGACUAGGACUGGGUUCCAACACCCGUACCAGUAUCAUUAAAAGUACUUAUUAAGCACUCACAUUUAAUAUGUUAUAAAGCAUGUUUAAAUGGAUAACAUUUGGUUAAUUUUCCAAUUUAAACAAGACAACAUUAAAAAGUACACAUUUAACAAUACUAUAUGUUUUUAAGAAGCACUUGCAAUAAUAUACUGAAAGCAUUUUGUAUUUUGUAUAGUACAAAUGUUUCUCAGUCAAGUUUUCUGAUGGUCACAUUAAGAGGUACAAGAUAUCUGGAAGCACCAUAAGUAAAUCCACAAAUAAUUAAAUCUGCCUAAUGGAGCAAUUUGCAGAUUAAAAUAUAGAACAAUUUUCAUAUCUUUGGUUUUUUUUGUAUUAAAUACCAAUCACUAUAACUGACAGCUAUCAAACAGGAAAAAAAACAGAAAAAAAAACUAAAAAAAACAUGAAAUGUGCGCGUUGGGUUUGAGGAACAAGUCAUUCAAAUAAAUGACAGGAUGUCAAAAAGUUCUUAUCAGACUUCUAUCCCAGAACCCAACUGAGUAUUUUUUUCCUUUUUCUUUCUGCUUUUCCUCUUUCCUUUAUCCUCCCCUAUAUCCUUCCCUUUUCAUCUCUGUCCUUAGAAUGCCUUAUAUUUCCAUAUUAGUUUAUGGUUCUCAAAUUGCUUUCAUAUGCCAUUAAUAAAAACAACUACUUUCUGAAGUAAGUAGGGUUACUACUCUUAAUAUUGUUUUAUUAAUGAGCACGACAGAGGGGAGGCAAUUUCCAAAAGAUUUUAGAGAUGGCAUGAUAUGGAAUUAAGUAAUUUAUUAGAUUUACCAAAUAAAAAUUUACAUUAUAGAAACUUUAAAAUACUGUUUUUAAAUAAAGAACACUAUUUACAUGGUUAAAAAUAUACAUGCACUAAGAACAAAUAUAUAAUGAAGAGUACAGUCUCUUUUCCUUACCACCCAUUCCCUGAAGACCUCUGUUCUAUUUCUUAGACAUACUGUUAAACAUUUUUCAGUAUCUUCCCAUAAAUGUUCUAUGCAUAUGCAAGCACACACAAUCUUUUAAAGCAAAUGAUAACUUACUCCUCUACAUCUUGUUCAUUUUUCUUUUAUCAGUGCACAUAUAUGCACUGUAUUUACCUUACGGAUCUCCAACUGUGAGCUUUAGGUUGUUUCUAGUUUCUUGCUUUUACUAGCAAUAAACACUCUUUUGCACUUGAAUGAGUUUCUCUGUAGAAUUAUUUCUAGAAGUGGAACUGCUAAGUCAAAGAACAUGUACACUUUUAAUUUUGAUAAAUACUUCCAAACUGAUUUCUGAACCAAUUUAUACUCCUACCAACUGUCUUGGAGGGGGCUUGUUUUCUCAUACCCUCACUAAUACCAGCUAUUAUCAAAUUUUGUAGUUUUUGCCAAUCUAAAAGGUGAAAAUAUUUUAUCUUGCAUGAAUAAAGUUGAAUAUUUUUUCUUUUUUUCCCUUAAUCGUUUGCAUUUCUUCUACUGGGUUGUCUUUUUAACUGAUGCAUAAGAGCUUUUUAAAUUUUCUCUUUUUUAAGAGUUAGGAUCUUGCUGUGUGGCUUAACUCUCAAACUCUUGGGCUCUAGCAGUCCUCCCACCUUAGCCUCCCGAGUAGCUGGGACUACAGGCAUGUGCUGCUGUGUGCAGCAGAUGUGUACAAAAGAGCUUUAAAGGUAGUACUGAAAACAGUUCCUUUAUAGUUCUAUGUUGAAAAUAAUUUCUUCCCACUUUUUUAUUGUCUUAAUUUACAGAUUUUUUGCUGUGCAGUAGGUUUUAUGUUGUCAAAUGUAUUAAUCUUUUAACCUAGGUUUUAAGUUAAAAUGCUUUCCCCAUGCUAAGAUUUUUAAAAAGAAAAACUCUUCCAUGUUUCCUAAUAUUUAUACUGUUUCAAAUUUUUAUGUUCAAAUCUUUGAUCCAUCUGAAAUUCACUUUGGUGUAAGGAAUAAGGAAGCAUUCUAAAUAGAUGUCAUACACAUCAACAAAUAUAUAUAUAUAGCCCCCACCCAAAUGUGGAUGUAAACUGUUUCUACAUCAUUAUUGAAUAAUCCAUCCUCUCACCCACUGAUCUGAAAUCUCACUGUUGCUAUAUACUAUGGUCCUAUGUGGAUUAGCAUCUACGCCUGGAUUCUCUAUUCGCUCCUCUGACUAUUCCUGGCCCAGUAACUUGUCUGACAAGUUCAGUUUUACAGUAUGUUUUGUUCUCUAGUAAAGCAGCACACCCUUGCUCUCCCAACUCUUCCUUUUCAGUUUUCUUGGCUAUUCUUGAGGGUUUUUUUCCAGAUAAACUUCAAUAAACGUGUAUCAAGGUCCAAAAUGAACGCUGGUAGGUUUUUUUUUUUUUCGAGUUGGGGUCUCACUCUGUCGCCUAGGCUGGAGUGCAGUGGCGUGGAUCUCUGCUCACUGCAAGCUCCGCCUCCCGGGUUCAUGCCAUUCUCCUGACUCAGCCUCCGGAGUAGCGGGGACUACAGGCGCACGCCACCAGGCCCGGCUAAUUUUUUUUUUUGUAUUUUUAGUAGAGACGGGGUUUCACCGCGUUAGCCAGAAUGGUUUCUAUCUCCUGACCUCAUGAUCCGCCCACCUCGGCCUCCCAAAGUGCUGGGAUUACAGGCGUGAGCCACUGUGCCUGGCCAAACGCUGAUUAAAAAACUGAGGUCCAGAGAAAUUAAGUAAUUUGCUUAACUUCGCGAAUCAAGGACUGCAUCAAGGACGGAAGCUGAGGUUCCUGCUUUUGGCCUGGUGCUUUCUGUACUGGCCAC